This 497-nucleotide ribosomal RNA is filed under the name uncultured bacterium. RNAcentral describes it as "partial 16S ribosomal RNA". It matches the Rfam family "Bacterial small subunit ribosomal RNA", at positions 28 to 507 of the family's 1533-position model. The record is from RNAcentral.
GAUGAACGCUGGCGGCGUGCCUAAUACAUGCAAGUCGAGCGAACGGACGAGAAGCUUGCUUCUCUGAUGUUAGCGGCGGACGGGUGAGUAACACGUGGAUAACCUACCUAUAAGACUGGGAUAACUUCGGGAAACCGGAGCUAAUACCGGAUGAUAUUUUGAACCGCAUGGUUCAAAAGUGAAAGACGGUCUUGCUGUCACUUAUAGAUGGAUCCGCGCUGCAUUAGCUAGUUGGUAAGGUAACGGCUUACCAAGGCAACGAUGCAUAGCCGACCUGAGAGGGUGAUCGGCCACACUGGAACUGAGGCACGGUCCAGACUCCUACGGGAGGCAGCAGUAGGGAAUCUUACGCAAUGGGCGAGAGCCUGACGGAGCAACGCCGCGUGAGUGAUGAAGGUCUUCGGAUCGUAAAACUCUGUUAUUAGGGAAGAACAUAUGUGUAAGUAACUGUGCACAUCUUGACGGUACCUAAUCAGAAAGCCACGGCUAACUACGUG